This 243-nucleotide ribosomal RNA is filed under the name uncultured bacterium. Its description in RNAcentral is "partial 16S ribosomal RNA". It matches the Rfam family "Bacterial small subunit ribosomal RNA", at positions 524 to 767 of the family's 1533-position model. The record is from RNAcentral.
GACAGAGGGUGCAAACGUUGUUCGGAAUUACUGGCGUAAAGCGAGUGUAGGCGGUUCGGUAAGUCGGAUGUGAAAGCCCCGGGCUCAACCCGGGAAGUGCACUCGAUACUGCCGAGCUAGAGUGUCGGAGAGGUUGGUGGAAUUCUCGGUGUAGAGGUGAAAUUCGUAGAUAUCGAGAGGAACACCGGUGGCGAAGGCGGCCAACUGGACGAACACUGACGCUGAGACUCGAAAGCGUGGGAG